GGGGCUGACUGGUUUUGACAGCAAGGCAAAUGGAAAUGUAAGCAUGCAGGCCCAGGCAACAACGGCCUUAACCAGGGUUGCAAAGAAUAAAAGGCGAAUAUAACUACGCUCUUGCAGCCUAAUCGAAGUAUAGUAGAUGGGCUUAUCCCUUGCCAAGGUGCAGGGGACAAGACGUCGCUCAAUGAGCAAGCCCGACGCUCGUUGGUCAAGCGGCGCUCGUGAGUUUGGGCUCGCCGGCCUGGUGUCCUGACGGGUCGGUCAGAAUUGCAGGACUAAGGCGGAAAUAGGCUGCCAAUUGCCAGUUUCCGCACGAAAAUCAAGAAUUGGCUAAGCAUGUAGAAAGCGUUUCUGUUUCUUGUUUGGACGCGGGUUCGAAUCCCGCCAGCUCCACUA
Molecule: transfer-messenger RNA, 393 nt
Filed under: Bacteroidales
Lineage: Bacteria; Pseudomonadati; Bacteroidota; Bacteroidia
Also listed under: 1 other name
Description: JAIFLP01 sp020049015 X1 Standard tmRNA
Rfam family: transfer-messenger RNA
About the family: Bacterial tmRNA, also known as 10Sa RNA or SsrA, is named for its dual tRNA and mRNA-like properties. Its role is to liberate the mRNA from a stalled ribosome.
Source: RNAcentral